GGUUAAGCGACUAAGCGUACACGGUGGAUGCCCUGGCAGUCAGAGGCGAUGAAGGACGUGCUAAUCUGCGAAAAGCGCCGGCGAGGUGAUAUGAACCUUUGACCCGGCGAUGUCCGAAUGGGGAAACCCAGUGCAAUCCGUUGCACUAUCGUUAACUGAAUACAUAGGUUAACGAGGCGAACCGGGGGAACUGAAACAUCUAAGUACCCCGAGGAAAAGAAAUCAACCGAGAUUCCCCCAGUAGCGGCGAGCGAACGGGGAGCAGCCCGGAGUCUGAAUCAGCUUGUGUGUUAGUGGAACGGUCUGGAAAGUCCGACGGUACAGGGUGAUAGUCCCGUACACGAAAGCACACAUGCUGUGAACUCGAAGAGUAGGGCGGGACACGUGGUAUCCUGUCUGAAUAUGGGGGGACCAUCCUCCAAGGCUAAAUACUCCUGACUGACCGAUAGUGAACCAGUACCGUGAGGGAAAGGCGAAAAGAACCCCGGCGAGGGGAGUGAAAAAGAACCUGAAACCGUGUACGUACAAGCAGUGGGAGCCUCUUUAUGGGGUGACUGCGUACCUUUUGUAUAAUGGGUCAGCGACUUAUAUUCUGUAGCAAGGUUAACCGUAUAGGGGAGCCGAAGGGAAACCGAGUCUUAACUGGGCGUUAAGUUGCAGGGUAUAGACCCGAAACCCGGUGAUCUAGCCAUGGGCAGGUUGAAGGUUGGGUAACACUAACUGGAGGACCGAACCGACUAAUGUUGAAAAAUUAGCGGAUGACCUGUGGCUGGGGGUGAAAGGCCAAUCAAACCGGGAGAUAGCUGGUUCUCCCCGAAAGCUAUUUAGGUAGCGCCUCGUGAACUCAUCUUCGGGGGUAGAGCACUGUUUCGGCUAGGGGGCCAUCCCGGCUUACCAACCCGAUGCAAACUACGAAUACCGAAGAAUGUUAUCACGGGAGACACACGGCGGGUGCUAACGUCCGUCGUGAAGAGGGAAACAACCCAGACCGCCAGCUAAGGUCCCAAAGUCAUGGUUAAGUGGGAAACGAUGUGGGAAGGCACAGACAGCCAGGAUGUUGGCUUAGAAGCAGCCAUCAUUUAAAGAAAGCGUAAUAGCUCACUGGUCGAGUCGGCCUGCGCGGAAGAUGUAACGGGGCUAAACCAUGCACCGAAGCUGCGGCAGCGACACUUAUGUGUUGUUGGGUAGGGGAGCGUUCUGUAAGCCGUUGAAGGUGUGCUGUGAGGCAUGCUGGAGGUAUCAGAAGUGCGAAUGCUGACAUAAGUAACGAUAAAGCGGGUGAAAAGCCCGCUCGCCGGAAGACCAAGGGUUCCUGUCCAACGUUAAUCGGGGCAGGGUGAGUCGACCCCUAAGGCGAGGCCGAAAGGCGUAGUCGAUGGGAAACAGGUUAAUAUUCCUGUACUUGGUGUUACUGCGAAGGGGGGACGGAGAAGGCUAUGUCAGCCGGGCGACGGUUGUCCCGGUUUAAGCAUGUAGGCGGAGGUUCCAGGUAAAUCCGGUACCUUGUUAACGCUGAGGUGUGAUGACGAGGCACUACGGUGCUGAAGUGAUAAAUGCCCUGCUUCCAGGAAAAGCCUCUAAGCAUCAGGUAACACGAAAUCGUACCCCAAACCGACACAGGUGGUCAGGUAGAGAAUACCAAGGCGCUUGAGAGAACUCGGGUGAAGGAACUAGGCAAAAUGGUGCCGUAACUUCGGGAGAAGGCACGCUGAUGUGUAGGUGAAGCCCCUGCGGGCGGAGCUGAAAUCAGUCGAAGAUACCAGCUGGCUGCAACUGUUUAUUAAAAACACAGCACUGUGCAAACACGAAAGUGGACGUAUACGGUGUGACGCCUGCCCGGUGCCGGAAGGUUAAUUGAUGGGGUUAGCGGCAACGCGAAGCUCUUGAUCGAAGCCCCGGUAAACGGCGGCCGUAACUAUAACGGUCCUAAGGUAGCGAAAUUCCUUGUCGGGUAAGUUCCGACCUGCACGAAUGGCGUAAUGAUGGCCAGGCUGUCUCCACCCGAGACUCAGUGAAAUUGAACUCGCUGUGAAGAUGCAGUGUACCCGCGGCAAGACGGAAAGACCCCGUGAACCUUUACUAUAGCUUGACACUGAACACUGGUCCUUGAUGUGUAGGAUAGGUGGGAGGCUUUGAAGCGUGGACGCCAGUCUGCGUGGAGCCAACCUUGAAAUACCACCCUUUAAUGGCUGGUGUUCUAACGUAGACCCGUAAUCCGGGUUGCGGACAGUGUCUGGUGGGUAGUUUGACUGGGGCGGUCUCCUCCCAAAGAGUAACGGAGGAGCACGAAGGUUGGCUAAUCCUGGUCGGACAUCAGGAGGUUAGUGCAAUGGCAUAAGCCAGCUUGACUGCGAGCGUGACGGCGCGAGCAGGUGCGAAAGCAGGUCAUAGUGAUCCGGUGGUUCUGAAUGGAAGGGCCAUCGCUCAACGGAUAAAAGGUACUCCGGGGAUAACAGGCUGAUACCGCCCAAGAGUUCAUAUCGACGGCGGUGUUUGGCACCUCGAUGUCGGCUCAUCACAUCCUGGGGCUGAAGUAGGUCCCAAGGGUAUGGCUGUUCGCCAUUUAAAGUGGUACGCGAGCUGGGUUUAGAACGUCGUGAGACAGUUCGGUCCCUAUCUGCCGUGGGCGCUGGAGAAUUGAGGGGGGCUGCUCCUAGUACGAGAGGACCGGAGUGGACGCAUCACUGGUGUUCGGGUUGUCAUGCCAAUGGCACUGCCCGGUAGCUAAAUGCGGAAGAGAUAAGUGCUGAAAGCAUCUAAGCACGAAACUUGCCCCGAGAUGAGUUCUCCCUGAGACUUUAAGUCUCCUGAAGGAACGUUGAAGACGACGACGUUGAUAGGUCGGGUGUGUAAGCGCAGCGAUGCGUUGAGCUAACCGAUACUAAUGAACCGUGAGGCUUAACCUU
Molecule: ribosomal RNA, 2906 nt
Filed under: Enterobacter hormaechei subsp. steigerwaltii
Lineage: Bacteria; Pseudomonadati; Pseudomonadota; Gammaproteobacteria; Enterobacterales; Enterobacteriaceae
Description: 23S ribosomal RNA
Rfam family: Bacterial large subunit ribosomal RNA
Source: RNAcentral